RNAcentral lists this ribosomal RNA (423 nucleotides) under uncultured bacterium. RNAcentral's name for it is "partial 16S ribosomal RNA". It matches the Rfam family "Bacterial small subunit ribosomal RNA", at positions 360 to 775 of the family's 1533-position model. The record is from RNAcentral.
AAUAUUGGACAAUGGGGGCAACCCUGAUCCAGCCAUGCCGCGUGUGUGAAGAAGGUCUUCGGAUUGUAAAGUACUUUAAGUUGGGAGGAAGGGCUUUAGGCUAAUACCCUGAAGUUUUGACGUUACCAACAGAAUAAGCACCGGCUAACUCUGUGCGAGCAGCCGCGGUAAUACAGAGGGUGCAAGCGUUAAUCGGAAUUACGUGGCGUAAAGCGCGCGUAGGUGGUUCAGUAAGAAGGGUGUGAAAUCCCCGGGCUUAACCUGGGAACUGCUUUCGUAACUGGUGAGGUAGAGUACGGUAGAGGGUAGUGGAAUUUCCUGUGUAGCGGUGAAAUGCGUAGAUAUAGGAAGGAACCCCAGUGGCGAAGGCGACUACCUGGACUGAUACUGACACUGAGGUGCGAAAGCGUGGGGAGCAAACAG